This is a long non-coding RNA of Aphis gossypii (cotton aphid), 510 nucleotides long. RefSeq lists it as uncharacterized. NCBI's taxonomy places the organism in Eukaryota, Metazoa, Arthropoda, Insecta, Hemiptera, Aphididae. The transcript is spliced from 3 exons. The record is from RefSeq and is a predicted model, not a curated record.
UUUUGAAGAGUUUUUUACUGAAUAAAAGAAAGGAAACUAUGAACAAACGUGAAACAAAUUAAUCACUGACGCCGGGUAAAGAUCAAUUGACAAGCAAAAGCGCACAUUGCACAUAAUAUGUGAUACGUAUCUGUGCCAAAGCACUAAUUUCUAUUAUAACACCUGCUAUUCGCCCACGAUGGAUUGACAUAAUAACAAUAAGACUUAUUGAAUAAGUAUUACCACAACAGGUGUCACUGUGUGAACAGUGAACAUAUUCCGUCGAAUGGAAUACAAUUAAUAUUGUUUGUGUUGUAACAUCGCCAUAACAACCAUGUUAAAUCUGAUUUAACACAACUUAACUUGGAACAACAUGUUGUAUUUAAAUCACAGGUCUGUUGAAAAUUUUAUAUCUGCGGAAAUACUGUUACCUGUGAACUUAAAACGAUUCUAAUAAUCACAGUUGGCUGAAUACCACCUUGGACAUAAGAUUAUAAGAAUGUUUCAACAUGCAAUUCAUUAGUUCUGACU